Molecule: ribosomal RNA, 760 nt
Filed under: uncultured bacterium
Lineage: Bacteria
Description: bacterial SSU rRNA
Rfam family: Bacterial small subunit ribosomal RNA
Source: RNAcentral
GGCUUCGGCCAUGUAGAUAAGUGGCGCACGGGUGCGUAACACGUAAAUAACUUACCCUUCAGAGGGGGACAACCGGCCGAAAGGCUGGCUAAUUCCCCAUACGUUCUUAGAUUCGUAGAGGAUUUAAUAAGAAACCCUGCCUCUGACAUAAUCUUGCGCUGAAUGAAAGGUUUGCGGCCCAUCAGCUAUUUGGUAGGGUAAAUGCCUACCAAGGCAAAGACGGGUAUCUGGUCUGAUAGGACUAUCACCCACACUGGGGCUGAAACACGGCCCACACUCCUACGGGAGGCACCAUUGGGGAAUAUUGGACAAUGGGGGAAACCCUGAUCCAACAAUGCCGCGUGGAGGAAGAACGCUCUUGGGUUGUAAACUCCUGUCAUUGGGGAAAAAGUUUAGCGUAUGAAUAAUAUGUUGAAUAGAUGGUACCCAAAAAGGAAGCACCGGCUAACUCCGUGCCAGCAGCCGCGGUAAUACGGAGGGUGCAAGCGUUGUUCGGAAUUACUGGGCGUAAAGUGCGUCUAGGCGGACAAGCAAGUCACGUGUGAAAGACUUUUGGCUCAAUAAAGAAUUGCGCGUGAAACUGAUUGUCUUGAGUAAUGGAGAGGUGGGCGGAAUUCCUGGUGUAUCAGUGAAAUGCGUACAUAUCAGGAGGAACACCGGAGGCGAAAGCGGCUCACUGGCCAUUUACUGACGCUGAAGCGCGAGAGCGUGGGUACCAUACUAGAUUACAUACCCUGCGUAGUCCACGCCGUAGACGAUG